Molecule: ribosomal RNA, 250 nt
Filed under: uncultured bacterium
Lineage: Bacteria
Description: partial 16S ribosomal RNA
Rfam family: Bacterial small subunit ribosomal RNA
Source: RNAcentral
UGGGGAAUUUUGGACAAUGGGGGAAACCCUGAUCCAGCCAUGCCGCGUGCGGGAAGAAGGCCUUCGGGUUGUAAACCGCUUUCAGCCGGAAAGAAAUUGCCAUUCCUAAUACGAGUGGUAGAUGACGGUACCGGAAGAAGAAGCACCGGCUAACUACGUGCCAGCAGCCGCGGUAAUACGUAGGGUGCGAGCGUUAAUCGGAAUUACUGGGCGUAAAGCGUGCGCAGGCGGAUGCUUAAGUCAGAUGUGA